Molecule: ribosomal RNA, 464 nt
Filed under: uncultured bacterium
Lineage: Bacteria
Description: partial 16S ribosomal RNA
Rfam family: Bacterial small subunit ribosomal RNA
Source: RNAcentral
CUACGGGUUGCUGCAGUCGAGAAUCUUUCGCAAUGGGGGAAACCCUGACGAUGCGACGCCGCGUGCGGGAUGAAGGCUUUCGGGUCGUAAACCGCUUUCAGCAGGGACGAAGGAUUAAAGUUGAAUAAGCUUUGGUUUUGACUGUACCUGAAGAAGAAGCCACGGCUAACUCCGUGCCAGCAGCCGCGGUAACACGGAGGUGGCAAGCGUUGCUCGGAUUUAUUGGGUGUAAAGGGCAUGUAGGCGGUUACGUCAGUUCGGUGUGAAAUCCUCCGGCUCAACCGGAGAACUGCACUGAAUACUGCGUGACUCGAGUGUGUGAGAGGAGAGCGGAAUUCCCGGUGUAAGGGUGAAAUGCGUAGAUAUUAGGAGGAACACCAGUGGCGAAGGCGACUUGCUGGACUGUAAUUGACGCUGAGGCACGAAAGCGUGGGGAGCAAACAGGAUUAGAUACCCUAGUAGUC